This 118-nucleotide ribosomal RNA is filed under the name Chrysemys picta bellii (western painted turtle). Lineage: Eukaryota; Metazoa; Chordata; Testudines; Emydidae. The record is from RNAcentral.
GCCUGUAAUCACACCACCUUGGCUUGUGAUCGUGUCAGAUCUCACAACAUAAGCAGAAUCAGGCAGCUUCAGUACUUGGAUGGGAGACGUCUAAAUGAAAUCAAAGGAGCUACAGAGA